AAAAUUGUAUAAUUAAUAGUCUAGAGUAGUAUUAGUUAGGGUCUUGAAACUCAAAAAAUUUGGCGGUAUUUUAGUCUAUUUAGAGGAACCUGUAGUAUAAUCGAUAGUCCACGAUGGACCUUACUUAAUUUUGUUUUUCAGUUUGUAUACCGCUGUUAUUUGAAUAUUUUAUAAGAAUAUUAAUUUUCAUAAUUUUUAAUUAAAGAAUAUAUCAGGUCAAGGUGCAGCUUAUGAUUAAGAAUUUAUGGGUUACAAUAAAUUUAUUUAUACGAAUAAAAAUGUGAAAUUAUUUUUUGAAGGUGGAUUUAAUAGUAAAUUUUUAUAGAUAAAAUAAUUGAUU
This 340-nucleotide ribosomal RNA is filed under the name Dolichopus wahlbergi. Its description in RNAcentral is "partial 12S ribosomal RNA". Lineage: Eukaryota; Metazoa; Arthropoda; Insecta; Diptera; Dolichopodidae. The record is from RNAcentral.